CCAUCCAUCCAAUCUCUGUGGCCCACGUAUGGUGACAAUGGUAGCUGCACUUGUCAGAGAGGCAUAGCUGUGGUGAUGUUUACACUGGCCCACUCACUGUUGUGGACCAGAAACUAUGUCACGUGGAUGUCAACUAUACUCCAGUACAAUAAUAUCAAGUCACUGAAGCCCAGCCUUGCAGAGUACCACCUGGGGGGCUCACAGUGUCACAGGCUGGAGAGGGGGAUCCUCAAGUACCGGGGUCUGGGCAGGUGCAGCUCUCCGGGCCACUGGGCUCUCGAGGCUGGUUCAGUCACCUGCCAGAGCCAGGGAGGGGGUCGGAGAGCCCUUGCUCUGGGCAGAGGUGAAGGGGGUAGUCUAGACAUUGCUCCCAAAUCCUGUGUAGGUGUGUGAGUUCUGCUGCUGCUGGCUAUGAGUCUUAGCAUGUCUCUGGGCCCCCUGGGCCUGACUCCUCACCACCUGGUCACUGUGAGGAUAGUGGAGAAAGGUGAGUUCACAAAGCGCCUGCCGCCUGGGGGCCUCAGUAAGGGUAGCUGCCACAAAGAAGGUGGAUGUGACGGGGUACCAUCUCCGGAGAACGGUCCAGGCCCACUGCUCCCCAAACCUGCCCCACCCUGCCCAGAUCACUAUCAGCACCACUGUCUUUGGAGAAGUGGAUGUCAAGACAGGAUUAGACCUUCAGGAGGUUCAUGGAAGGGAACCGGUGAGAGGAUUCCGCCAGCUGCUAAGGAGAUCUGUUGAUUCUUCAGCCAAGGGCCAGGAAGAGGACACCAUGCAUGGCAUAAGUCACGAGGAGGACGUGUGCCAGCAAUGUUUGUUACCUUGCCUCUGUCUGUCCCCACGCUAAUGGAUGAUCACCAUCACAUUAUCUGCCCUGUUAUCAAUGGCAGCUCAGCAGACCCUGUAUCAGAGAAAUGCUGCUAAUAUUGGAGUACUUCCCUUUCUUCAGGAUCUCAGUAUCAUUUGAGGAAGGAGUGAGGGAAUGGGUUCUAUGAAUACAUGUACGAUUGCCUUCAGAGUCUUUGCUUGAGGUGAUCUUACUUCCACUUCAGUCAGUGAGUCUGGGUCUGAGAACUGGUCUAGGUCUGGACACGGGGGUGAGAGGGUCACAAUUUCCCAUUGCAGCCACUAACAUUGUUCUUGAGAGCUUUUUUGCUUGCACAAAUCGUGCUUGCCCUCAGAUACUCAUCUGUCUCUCUCAUAGCAACAUGUUCUAGUAGACAUCUUCCCCUGUGGCUGAAAGGUUACUGGGUGG
This is a long non-coding RNA of Canis lupus familiaris (dog), 1255 nucleotides long. RefSeq lists it as uncharacterized. Lineage: Eukaryota; Metazoa; Chordata; Mammalia; Carnivora; Canidae. The transcript has 3 exons. The record is from RefSeq and is a predicted model, not a curated record.